UUUGCGAACUGCUCAGUAACACGUGGAUAACCUGCCCUAUGCUCUGGAAUAACCUCGGGAAACUGAGAAUAAUACCGGAUAGAUCACAACGCCUGGAACGGUGUGUGGUUGAAAGAUUACGGCAUAGGAUGGGUCUGCGGCGUAUCAGGUUGUAGGGGGUGUAACGGACCUCCUAGCCAUCGACGCGUACGGGUGUUGGGAGACAUAGCCCGGAGAUGGAUUCUGAGACACGAAUCCAGACCCUACGGGGUGCAGCAGGCGCGAAAACUUCACACUGCAGGAAACUGUGAUGAGGGAACUCCAAGUGCGUGCACUUAGUGUGCGCUUUUCUUGACUAUUAAUCGGUCAUGGAAUAAGGGCUGGGAAAGACCGGUGCCAGCCGCCGCGGUAAUACCGGCAGCUCAAGUGGUCGUCGCUUUUAUUGGGCCUAAAACGUCCGUAGCCUGUUUGGUAAAUCUGUGGGUAAAUCAACCAGCUUAACUGGUUGAAUUCUGCAGAGACUGCCAGACUAGGGACCGGGAGAGGUGUGGGGUACUCUAGGGGUAGGGGUAAAAUCCUGUCAUCCUUAGAGGACCACCAGUUGCGAAGGCGCCACACUGGAACGGAUUCGACGGUCAGGGACGAAGCCUAGGGGCACGAACCGGAUUAGAUACCCGGGUAGUCCUAGGUGUAAACGCUGUGAACUUGGUGUCGGGGAUCCGUCAUGGGUCCCCGGUGCCGGAGUGAAGAUGUUAAGUUCACUGCUGGGGAGUACGGUCGCAAGGCUGAAACUUAAAGGAAUUGGCGGGGGAGCACUGCGACCGGAGGAGCGUGCGGUUUAAUU
Molecule: ribosomal RNA, 823 nt
Filed under: uncultured marine euryarchaeote
Lineage: Archaea; Methanobacteriati; Methanobacteriota
Description: bacterial SSU rRNA
Rfam family: Archaeal small subunit ribosomal RNA
Source: RNAcentral